This 570-nucleotide ribosomal RNA is filed under the name uncultured marine eukaryote. Its description in RNAcentral is "SSU rRNA". It matches the Rfam family "Eukaryotic small subunit ribosomal RNA", at positions 1 to 577 of the family's 1831-position model. The record is from RNAcentral.
AACCUGGUUGAUCCUGCCAGUAGUCAUAUGCUUGUCUCAAAGACUAAGCCAUGCAUGUCUAAGUAUAAGUAUUAUACAGCGAAACUGCGAAUGGCUCAUUAAAACAGUUAUAAUUUAUUUGAUAAUCGAAUUUACAUGGAUAACCGUGGUAAUUCUAGAGCUAAUACAUGCUGGUAGGCCCGACUUUUUGGAAGGGCGGUAUUUAUUAGAUAACAAACCAAUAUUCCUCUGGUCUAUUGUGGUGAAUCAUAAUAACUGAUCGAAUCGCAAGGUUUUUAACCGCGAUAAGUCAUUCAAGUUUCUGCCCCAUCAGCUUUCGAUGGUAGUGUAUUGGACUACCAUGGCUUUUACGGGUAACGGAGGAUUAGGGUUCGACUCCGGAGAGGGAGCCUGAGAAACGGCUACCACAUCUAAGGAAGGCAGCAGGCGCGUAAAUUACCCAAUCCUGACUCAGGGAGGUAGUGACAAGAAAUAACGGACCGAGGCCUUCGGGCUUCGGGAUUGCAAUGAGCCGAAUUUACACCCCUUAGCGAAGAUCGAUUGGAGGGCAAGUCUGGUGCCAGCAGCCGC